RNAcentral lists this ribosomal RNA (519 nucleotides) under uncultured eukaryote. RNAcentral's name for it is "bacterial SSU rRNA". It matches the Rfam family "Eukaryotic small subunit ribosomal RNA", at positions 1161 to 1637 of the family's 1831-position model. The record is from RNAcentral.
AGGGCACCACCAGGAGUGGAGCCUGCGGCUUAAUUUGACUCAACACGGGAAAACUUACCCGGCCCGGACACUGGAAGGAUUGACAGAUUGAGAGCUCUUUCUUGAUUCAGUGGGUGGUGGUGCAUGGCCGUUCUUAGUUGGUGGAGCGACUUGUCUGGUUAAUUCCGAUAACGAACGAGACUCUAGCCUACUAAAUAGACUGUUCAGCUUUAUAGCCGGAAUCACUGGGCGUGUAGCUCUCCGCAAGGGGGGUUGCAUGUUCGGCUCUGGUGACGUUGGCAGUGCUUCUUAGAGGGACAGGCGGCGGUUCAGCCGCACGAAACAGAGCAAUAACAGGUCUGUGAUGCCCUUAGAUGUCCGGGGCUGCACGCGCGCUACACUGAAGUGAUCAGCGUGCAAUUUACGUUUGGUGAUCUGUCAAGAUUGCCCAACCCGUUGAACCUUCUUCGUGAUUGGGAUAGGGGAUUGUAAUUAUUCCCCUUGAACGAGGAAUUCCCAGUAAGCGCAAGUCAUAAGCUU